This 69-nucleotide transfer RNA is filed under the name Litoria freycineti (Freycinet's treefrog). RNAcentral describes it as "tRNA-Val". It matches the Rfam family "tRNA". From Rfam's summary of the family: Transfer RNA (tRNA) molecules are approximately 80 nucleotides in length. Their secondary structure includes four short double-helical elements and three loops (D, anti-codon, and T loops). The record is from RNAcentral. Lineage: Eukaryota; Metazoa; Chordata; Amphibia; Anura; Pelodryadidae.
CAAGACGUAGCUUAAAUAAAGCAUCUCGCUUACACCGAAAAAAUGCCCAUUGAAUCUGGGCCAUCUUGA